CUUUUUGACAUUACGUUUUCUUUCCUUUCUUCCUUUACUUCUUACAAGGAGCGUGAGAAAUUCUACAUUGUUUAAUUAAAUCCAGAUAGAUCCCUGAAAAUACUAAAUUAUUUCAAAUCUCACUACAUAAACGAGUGUUUUGGAAAUUUGGGCGUGGGAUCGCUGGAUUCAGCAACAACUAUAAAAGGUGCCGAAAAAGUGAUAAUAUCUUGUCG
Long non-coding RNA from Rhagoletis pomonella (apple maggot), 215 nucleotides. RefSeq lists it as uncharacterized. The record is from RefSeq and is a predicted model, not a curated record. NCBI's taxonomy places the organism in Eukaryota, Metazoa, Arthropoda, Insecta, Diptera, Tephritidae. The transcript has 3 exons.